CUAACUAGACUAUAUAAACUCUCUGGGGGGGGGUUCCACAUCUUUUUUUUUUAUCCUUUACCAUACCUGUAAUUUAGGGCUCAUUGUAGGCACUUAAUAAACUCUCGCUGACAGUCAUUAAUUUGGAGUACUUUUCAGAGUGAGUCCUGAUUAAAGUCACCCUGGAAGAAGUCUUGCCCGGGUCAAAAUGACCCUUGUGGAACCAACUGGAAAGCAGAAUCUGUGGUUGGCCAUGCAUUAUCCUAUACUGAUUUCAUAGGCACAUCCUCAUGCCCAUGGGCGCCCAGCCUCGUAAGGCUGGGCUCCGGGACUCUGCACCAGGAGUCUGUUCUUUGGUAUUAUUUUAAACUUAGGAUAGAGCUUACUCGUUUACAAGAGGGUUGCCCUUCACAGGUUUAAUGAGUGUGAAUAUCAUCCAUCAUCUUGAAUGGAAUUUUAUCCAGGAAGCCUUCUUUGGUUUCCUCACCUAGAAGUAAUCUUUCCUUCCUCUAAAUUUCAUUACACGUGAUUUCUACCCUCACGUUAUCCAUCACUUUCUUUUUUUAAUUAUUUUAUUUUAUUUUAUUUUUGAGGAAGAUUAGCCCUGAGCUAACAUCUGCUGCCAAUCCUCCUCUGUUUGCUGAGGAAGACUGGCCCUGAGCUAACAUCCGUGCCCAUCUUCCUCUACUUUACAUGUGGGAUGCCUGCCACAGCAUGGCUUGCCAAGCAGUGCCGUGUCUGCACCCGCGACCUGAACUAGCAAACCCUGGGCUGCCAAAUCAGAACGUGCACACUUCACCACUGCGCCACUGGGUCGGCCCCUAUCCAUCACUUUCUAAAUUUGUAUUACUCACACAUCUUAUCUCCCUUCCUAGACUAUGUGUUUCCUGAAUCAGGAUCCAUUCUUCAGUCACUUUGCUUCUCCUAGUGUGAGAGAACAGCUGCCACUGAUCAAGCAGUUAUUUGUAUGCCAAGUUAUUUAUUUCCACUUCACAAGUGGAAAAACUGAGGGCCAAAAAGAUUAAUAUCUAGUAUAGUAGAUUAAUCUCUAGUAUCCAGUAUGGUAGGUAUCUAGUAGGUCAUGCGGCUACUAAGUGAUGAAGCCUGGAUUCAAACUCAAGUAGUCUGACCUCAGAGUCUAUGCUCUUUAUUACUGGGCCCCAUAAUGCUUCCUGCACAUUGUGGGCAGUAAAGACGCAGUAAAUACUUAUUAAAUGAAUUCAUUCAUCAGUUAGCUAAUUAGUAAGACAACAAAAUGUUGGUCAGCUGUUAGGAGACCCAGUUUCAGAUACCUCCUCUGACCUAUAGCAUUAGAAAAGCCAAGGCUGUAAAGGAUUUAGGAGUAAAAUCAGGGGAUAUUCAGCGGUAAGAUCUGCCUCCAGACCACUGUCAAACCAAGUUCUACCAAUACUAACAUUAGUAACAUUAGAGUUAACCUAGGACACUGCUUCACAAUCCUAUGCAAACCCAGUGAGACUGAUAGAACUUCUUAAAGAGGAGAGGUUACACAUUUCGAAUAACUAAAUUACAUAUCUCUCUGAACGUUGGUGUUGUGUGCAUUAGGGGAAAAAGGCAGAUAUACACCUUCUAGGGUUACUAUAAGGUUUAAUGAGAUUAUGUGAAGUACCCAGCACAGUACUUGGUACAUAGUAGAAACUCUAUGCAUAUAAGCACUACCCUCCACUCCACCUGCAUUUCCCACUUCGCAGCUAAGCUGAAAGAAGGCGCAAAGCCAAAGGAGAGAUGAAUGGAUGACAGCUGGCAAUGAGAGAUGUUAGUCAAAUUCCACAGGAUUAAGUAGUUGUGAAUCAGAGGUGUCAAGGUCCACUCCCAAGAUUCCAAAUAGCAGCUCUUAGUCUUGCAAGAAAAUUUAGCCAGGAGAAGGAUAAGUGAGAGGCCUAUCAGAAGACAGAGGAAGUCGUUAUUCCUAGCAGAAGGGGAAAUUAGUUCUUGGGAUUCCCUCACUGUAAUGACUGACUGUUUUGUCGGCCAGGAUUGGAUUAACCUAAGGGUAUUCAGAGAUCUAUGUAUCUCACUGGGUCAUCUGUAUUUUACUGAGGAAUAGGAAGAUUAACUGCAGGCACCAGACUGGUCGUCCCACUUAACGUAACCCUGGAAAGUUCCUCUCGCAUUCCAGAAACUACUCAGCCUCUGUGAAGUUUGCCUAUCUGUCUGGCAAAAGACAGUUCAGGUCGUGUUUUUCACAAGCAAUAGAAAAAGCCAGUUUCAACAAAGCUAGGAGUUUGUCCUAAGAAUCUGGAGUUACUUAAGAGAUAUUUCAACAACCUGUGUCUUCAGUAAGGCUCCCCGGAAACAGACGCCUAAACAGAGAGAUGCAUGCCGGAAAGUGAGGGAAGUUUUCCUGUAGGAUACACUCACAAAUAUGCCUACCUUGAUUUAAUCCUACAGGGGUCUAAACGUCUUAUUCGUAAAAUUUGUCAAGCCCUUGGAAGAAGAGAGUUGGUGUCUGCUUUUCCAUCAACUUGUAAAUUCCUGGAGAGGAGGACCUCAAGACAUUCUCCCUUGUUUUCUUCACAGCCAGGGAUGAUAUUGAAGAUAGUUAACACCCAGUGCAGCACAGGCACCAACCAACUCAAAUGGACGCUGGUCUUAGGCAAUUUGUAUGGCUAUACUAGUGGAUACAGCUGAAUAUUUGUUCUGCACACGGAAGGCAUCCAAUAAAAGAUCGUUGGAUUGAAUUUCAUUGGUUUGGUCAUCAUGGCCUUGCCACCUUUGUUCCAGAUAAAUGGAUCUGUAUGAGAGAAGCAGCUCUGGCACAUGCACACUUGCGGAUGCCGUUCAUCUGCUUUUCUCCUGGGACUACCAGGAAAUAAAUUAGCUAUCAGAUCAGAGCAAACCAAAAUUUAAAAGAUCAUAAAUGAAAAAUGAAUGUGUUGUUAUUUGACUUUUUUGUAUCGUUAUUCAUAGAUUUUCUUAAAGUAAUAAUCAGAGAACAUCAUCAACUAAAAUAUGUUUAUAACCCAAGUCAGUGACGAACUUGGUAAACACGGCAGAAUUACGCCCUCUCUUAAUUAGCCUUUGGGGAGACACCAAGUUUUGAACCACUGCUUGUAGCUCUGGGAAUCUUCUAAGAAGCAGGAGUAGAUUAACCUCUAGAAGAGAAAUAUGCCAAAAGCUGAUUUUCACAUAUGACUUGGUGAGUCUUAAACAGAAACAGGCUAACAUGCCAAAUAUGACCAGCUGAGAAGUAUCAACAUCAAAGGCAGAAAUCAUAAACUAUUUGACACAAACAUAUUAAAAAGUUUUACAUCAAGAAAUUAUAAAAAACAAAAUUUAAGACAGGUGACAAAUUUUAAAAUAUUGCUGCAUAUGUGACAGAGCUGAUAUCAUUAAUAUAUGAGAAAUUCUUACAGAUCAGUAAGAAAAAAAUGCCUCAGUAGAAAAAUGACCAAAGGAUAAGCAAGUCACAAAACAAAAAAUAAAAAAGGCUGAUAAACAUUUAGUGUCUAGAAUAGUGCCUGUC
Molecule: long non-coding RNA, 3463 nt
Organism: Equus caballus (horse)
Lineage: Eukaryota; Metazoa; Chordata; Mammalia; Perissodactyla; Equidae
Source: Ensembl